This 433-nucleotide ribosomal RNA is filed under the name uncultured bacterium. Its description in RNAcentral is "partial 16S ribosomal RNA". It matches the Rfam family "Bacterial small subunit ribosomal RNA", at positions 29 to 507 of the family's 1533-position model. The record is from RNAcentral.
AGCGAACGCUGGCGGCAGGCCUAACACAUGCAAGUCGAACGAACUCUUCGGAGUUAGUGGCGGACGGGUGAGUAACACGUGGGAACGUGCCUUUUGGUUCGGAAUAACUCAGGGAAACUUGUGCUAAUACCGAAUGUGCCCUUCGGGGGAAAGAUUUAUCGCCAUUAGAGCGGCCGGCGUCUGAUUAGAUAGUUGGUGCGGUAACGGCUCACCAAGGCGACGAUCAGUAGCUGGUCUGAGAGGAUGACCAGCCACACUGGGACUGAGACACGGCCCAGACUCCUACGCGAGGCAGCAGUGGGGAAUCUUGCGCAAUGGGCGAAAGCCUGACGCAGCCAGGCCGCGUGAAUGAUGAAGGUCUUAGGAUUGUAAAAUUCUUUCACCGGGGACGAUAAUGACGGUACCCGGAGAAGAAGCCCCGGCUAACUUCGUG